This 582-nucleotide ribosomal RNA is filed under the name uncultured soil bacterium. RNAcentral's name for it is "bacterial SSU rRNA". It matches the Rfam family "Bacterial small subunit ribosomal RNA", at positions 9 to 529 of the family's 1533-position model. The record is from RNAcentral.
GAGUUUGAUCCUGGCUCAGGAUUAAACGCUAGCGGGAUGCUUUACACAUGCAAGUCGAAAGGCAGCACGGACUUCGGGUCUGGUGGUGGAGUGGCGAACGGGUGAGUAAUGUAUCGGAACGUGCCUAGUAGGGGGGGAAGAACUACGCGAAAGCGUGGCUAAUACCGCAUACGCCCUGCGGGGGAAAGGGGGGGGUCGCAAGACCUCUCACGAUUAGAGCGGCCGAUAUCGGAUUAGCUAGUUGGUAGGGUAAAGGCCUACCAAGACAGUGAUCCGUAGCUGGUUUGAGAGGACGACCAGCCACACUGGGACUGAGACACGGCCCAGACUCCUACGGGAGACAGCAGUGGGGAAUUUUGGACAAUGGGGGAAACCCUGAUCCAGCCAUCCCGCGUGUGCGAUGAAGGCCUUCGGGUUGUAAAACACUUUUGGCAGGGAAGAAACGGCGCCGGAUAAUACUCGGCGUCGCUGCCGGUAAGUGCAGAAUAAGCACCGGCUAACUACGGGGGGCCUUUUAUGUUAAUACGAAGCCGAAUCCAGCACGCGUGGCGGCACAGAUGACUAGUGAUCGCGAGCUGCGUG